CGACCGGCGCACGGGUGAGUAACGCGUAUCCAACCUGCCUUACACUCUUGGACAGCCUUCUGAAAGGGAGAUUAAUACAAGAUGUUAUCAUGAGUAAGCAUUUCCGCAUGAUUAAAGGUUUACCGGUGUAAGAUGGGGAUGCGUUCCAUUAGAUAGUAGGCGGGGUAACGGCCCACCUAGUCUUCGAUGGAUAGGGGUUCUGAGAGGAAGGUCCCCCACAUUGGAACUGAGACACGGUCCAA
Molecule: ribosomal RNA, 242 nt
Filed under: uncultured bacterium
Lineage: Bacteria
Description: partial 16S ribosomal RNA
Rfam family: Bacterial small subunit ribosomal RNA
Source: RNAcentral